Molecule: ribosomal RNA, 433 nt
Filed under: uncultured bacterium
Lineage: Bacteria
Description: partial 16S ribosomal RNA
Rfam family: Bacterial small subunit ribosomal RNA
Source: RNAcentral
AACGAACGCUGGCGGCAUGCCUAACACAUGCAAGUCGAACGCACCCUUCGGGUCUUGUGUCGCUCGGCUGCGUACCGCGUGGUAACCUGCCCUUAGUAUCGGAUUAACUACCUGCCUGGGAUCCUAAUAUAACUUAUUGUCUUCGUAGCUAAGAUGUAUCGGCUUUGAUUGGUCCCGCGUUGGAUUAUCAAGUUGGUAGGUUAAAAGCCUUCCAAGGCAACGAUCCAUAGCUGGCCUGUGAGGAUGAUCAGCCACACUGGGACUGAGAGACGGCGCAGACUCCUACGGGAGGCAGCAGUGGGGAAUAUGGGACGAUGGGCGAAAGCCUGAGGCAGCAAGGCCGCGUGAGUGAUGAAGGCCUUAGGGUUGUAAAGCUCUUUUACACGGGAAGAUAAUGACAGUACCGGGAGAAUAAGCGCCGGCUAACUACGUG